GCCCUCGGUUUGCGUGCAGUGAAAAGAAGAAAAUUAAAUUCUUUUUUAUUUUUUUCUCUCUUUCUUCCUUCUUUCAGCCCUCGCGAGCCUUUUCUUCCCCAACUCUUUUCCAACAACCGCUUGUGGUUCGAUAGGUCAUCACCACCUCCUCACGCCUCAGUCUAGUCGUGCUUCAUCUGCCGCUCGACCGUGGUUCUUCUGCUUCCAGCCGCGCGAGAUUUCAGUUGCAAGUCCAGCCAUGCCGCUCGACCGCUGCUCUCCAUCAACCGCGCCGUGCGAUUGCUGCUUUUUGCUAGUCGCGUUGCACGUUGACGCUCUCUGCCAGUCGAGUUUCUUCGAUUUUUCGUUCUCGUUCUUGCGUUCGCCAGUCGUCGAUCGCUUCUGUUCUGCCAAGAACUUGGUCUUUGGUGAGAUUUAAGUUUUUGGUUUUUAGUUAAUGGGUUUUGAAUGCCUAUUGAUUUUGGUCUAAUUUAAGUUUACUCAGGGUACGUUGUUGCUUAAUACGGGGUUUCAAGAUAUUUUUUCGGUACUUUCCAACAACAUCAAAGUUCUCUUGGGUGCCUUUUGGUAGGCUAUAAUGGUUGUUCUGAUUUAAAUCUUGUUUUCCCCAGUUGGUUUGAUGAAUAUUUGUGUUAAUUGGAUUUUAGAAUUGAGUUUUGAAACAUUUCAAUUUGGCUUAUGACUGGUUUGGAUUCCGUACUUGGAGCUCAGGUGUAGUUCUGGUUAAGUCGACAUUUUUGGGGCAAUUCGAGCAUUUGACUUAAGUCAGAGGGAUUUGAUUGAUAGUUGGAGUUUGGUUGUUAAUUGUUCGAUAUAAAUUCGAGCUUUCAACCUCUGUGCACUGCCCUCCUUUGGUAAGGGAAGAACCGGGCGUCGUACGAGCGAAGGACAAGAUCCUAAGACCAACUACGACCCAGAGAUUGAAAGAAAUUUCCGAAAAAGAAGAAGAAACAACCGCCGACAAUAGCAAGAGAGAAAUCCCAACAUGGUGGAGCAACCAGAAGACAGAGCACCAAACGCAGAUAAUUUCAUGGCGAACCCCAUUCUCCUGGCGAAUGACUGCAAUAGGCCCAUUCGGGACUAUGCAUCGCCCAACCUCUAUGAUUUCUCACAGGAAUCAUGAGGCUAGCCCUGGACGGAUCGAGGUUCAAGAUGAAGCUGAUUAUGCUGUAGAUGAUUUAGACUGCCGAACAGUUUGGUGGAAGACGUGGCGAGGAUCCGCAUGCCCAUCUCCGAAGUUUUAUUAAAAUUUGCAAUAUGUUUGUGUUCCCAAACAUUUCAACUGAGGAGGUUCAACUAAUGUUGUUCCCAUUUUUAUUAUACGAUCAAGCAAGGAAAUGGGCCUAUUCUCUCGAACCAGGGGAGAUAACAUCUUGGGAAUAAGUAGUUGAGAAGUUCAUGAAGAAGUACUUCUCCCUGACAGAGAAUGCAAGAAGGAGGAAGUUGAUUACAAAUUUUAAACAGGAUAUUUACGAAUUGCUCAGUGAUGCCUGGGUGAGGUUUAAGAGACUAGUGCGAGAUUGUCCGCACAAUGGCUUACCUGAUUGUCUCCAAAUGGAAAUCUUUUAUCACGAUUUAAACCUUGCAUCGUAGACGGCUACCAAUGCGACAAUAGUUGGAGGUCUGCUGGACAAAACGUAUGACGAGGUGAAAAAUAUCCUUGAUCGCAUUUCGAAGAAUCACAAAAACUAGAGGGAAAGCGAUCAAUGACUUAGAAUUAAAGAAGGUGACGCAAGUAAUGAGUCCAUCGCAUCCCUACAAAAUCAAAUGAAUACAAUGAUGAAUCUAAUACAAGGCAUCACAAUCAGCGGCUCGGGAACACAUCAAGGGCAGGUCAACACAAUCGAUCAAACGAGCGCAAGUUGUGACACUUGCGGAGAAGUCCAUGCGAUGGAAGAGUGUCCGAGGAAUCCAUAAUUUGUUUAUUUCGUAAAAAAGCUGCGAUAUCUAAUUUUGUGAGGUUUGUCGUGGUAAUAUUAUCACAAAACAUUAUAUUUAUAUCAAAAUUUUAAUAUGUAUCAAAUAUGCAAAAUAACAUGUAAUUUAUUAAUUAUAAUAAAUAUAAAAAAAACCCACCUACCUUUAAAACUUACCUUCAACGGGGAAAACAAUAGAGCUCGUGCUGAUAACGUGUUGUAAAAUUAAGGAGCACAAGGGGAAUAUGGAUAUGGAUAAGAUAUUAUAUGAUAAUAAAAUAACUAAAAUUAUACAAUUAUGAAGAUUGGAAAAUUGGAAAUGGGAAAAUAUAUGAAAUUCUCUUUUUUUCAACUCACCAAUGUGUGCUUUUUUCAUGAUCCACCUGUUGGGGUUGAUGCUCUAAAUCUCGUAGGGUCCCAUAGUUUGUAAUUGUAAUGUAUAAACAUUUUAUUUAU
Molecule: non-coding RNA, 2372 nt
Organism: Benincasa hispida (wax gourd)
Lineage: Eukaryota; Viridiplantae; Streptophyta; Magnoliopsida; Cucurbitales; Cucurbitaceae
Source: RefSeq, a predicted model, not a curated record